RNAcentral lists this ribosomal RNA (172 nucleotides) under uncultured bacterium. Its description in RNAcentral is "partial 16S ribosomal RNA". It matches the Rfam family "Bacterial small subunit ribosomal RNA", at positions 338 to 524 of the family's 1533-position model. The record is from RNAcentral.
CCUACGGGAGGCAGCAGUAGGGAAUCUUGCACAAUGGAGGAAACUCUGAUGCAGCGACGCCGCGUGAGUGAUGAAGGCUUUCGGGUUGUAAAGCUCUGUUCUCAGGGAAAAAUAAAUUGAUUGUACCUGAGGAGAAAGGACCGGCUAACUUCGUGCCAGCAGCCGCGGUAAU